GACGAACGCUGGCGGCGUGCUUAACACAUGCAAGUCGAACGAACAGGCCCUGCGUUUGUGGGGUUCACGAGUGGCGCACGGGUGAGUAAAACGUGUGUAACCUGCACUUGUAAUUGGGAUAAAUUUAGGAGAAUCGGGCUCAUAUAGGAUAGAAGAUACUGCUGCGUGGUGGGGGUUGGAGAGUUUCGGCGGUUGGGGAUGGUCUCGCGGCUUAUCGGCUUGUUGGUGUGGUAGUGGCUUACCAAGGCUUUGACGGGUAGCCGGCCUGAGAGGGUGACCGGCCACAUGGCGACUGCGAGACGGCGCAGACUGCUACCGGCGGCAGCAGGGGGGAAUAUUGCACAAUGGGCGGAAGUGUGAUGCAGCGACGCCGCGUGCGUAAUGACCUCUUACGGGUGGUAAACCGCUUUCUCCUUUGACAAAGCGGGAGUGACGGUAAUUGGUAAAGAAGCACCGGCUAACUACGUG
RNAcentral lists this ribosomal RNA (468 nucleotides) under uncultured bacterium. RNAcentral's name for it is "partial 16S ribosomal RNA". It matches the Rfam family "Bacterial small subunit ribosomal RNA", at positions 28 to 507 of the family's 1533-position model. The record is from RNAcentral.